GUGAGAAUCUCUAGAAGCUGGUCCCCCGGAGAAGCAUCUCAGGAGUCCUUUUUGUUGCUCUCCAGUCCUAAAUCUUCCCAGGCUCUGCAAAAAGAGAAGUCCUAAAGCCUCAGUAAUGAUACAAGCUACACUGUCCUGGGGACCUCACUGAGGACCACAGUAUUUACUGAGUGAGAUGGAAAGCCACCACUGGGGUUUCAGUACAUUAGAGUAUAACAAGACUUCUGCUUCACAGGAAGAUUCUAGUUGCUGUAAGGACUCCAGCCUAUGAGUGACAGAGAAGCAGAGAUCACAGCAACUGACCAAGACCCGUAGGAAAUUGGAGAAGAACUGUGGACCCUCUCUACAGAAAAAUGCGCACUCACACAGAAGCAGAGUUUUGCAUGGUAUUUCAGGAUAUUUUUAACUUCUCAGUGUCGUGACCGCCAGCUUCAAACCUCUGUGGGUGCCUGUGGCAGGUCUCCAAGGACUCCUGGAGAAAGGACUGACAUAUUAUUCAUGUUUGCCUAUGAAAUCCUGGGCCAGCUGAAUUCAAGCUGCUUCUGGAAGAACUGACCAGCCUUUCUCCUGUGGGACUCCAACUGCGACGAUUCAUCAGGAAAUAGCCAGUAGUACCCAAGAUGGCCAGCAGGACUCCUGAGAUAAAGAAGCUGAGUUAUAAAGACUGUUUACCAUAAGAAAAUUAUUGUGUUAGCAGAAAUAACCCAAUGUGCUCAGGUAAAGCUGGUAGGGAAAUGCAUGGAAGCAAGUCUGUUGUGUGACAGCCUGUCCAGCCUCACUACAGCUAAAAGAAGAUGGAAAGACUCUAUCUUCUCUGUUUUGCUCCAUGUCCUGCAAGAUUCAACUCAAAUUCCAUGUCUUCCAGGAAGCCAGUCCUGUCUUUGGCAAAUUGGACAUAAAUUCUUGCUCUCCAAUUUUCUAGACUCUUUUCAAGUCAUCAUCAACUGCGCAACAUCAUCAAGUUCCUCAGCUCUAAACUGGGUGUAUGGUGACCACAACAGUGUUGUAUAAAAAUAUUUAAUACAUAAGGGUUCUGAUUGGUACAAAACAGCAGCUAUUACUAUUAUUACUAAUAAUCACAGUUCUUGAUGUAUUACCUAGAGAUCCAAAUUGUGCUCAUCUUACUGUUGUCAUUUCCCUCUGACCAAACUGUUAGACUCCUACGUGCCUGUGUGGUGAGGGUGAGGGUGCAUGCCAUGUAAUUUUGAAACCAGAAUGCAUUUAUUGUACCAAAUAAACAAAAGAACUCAAGGACUUGUUCGGCCCAACACCCCAACUGGUUGGCCUCUACCUUGAGUCUCUCCACUGCA
Molecule: long non-coding RNA, 1310 nt
Organism: Peromyscus eremicus (cactus mouse)
Lineage: Eukaryota; Metazoa; Chordata; Mammalia; Rodentia; Cricetidae
Exons: 6
Source: RefSeq, a predicted model, not a curated record